This 18-nucleotide small RNA is filed under the name Arabidopsis thaliana (thale cress). RNAcentral describes it as "Ath_wt_14822". The record is from RNAcentral. Lineage: Eukaryota; Viridiplantae; Streptophyta; Magnoliopsida; Brassicales; Brassicaceae.
GACAGUUUGGCCGAGUGG